RNAcentral lists this ribosomal RNA (393 nucleotides) under uncultured bacterium. RNAcentral describes it as "partial 16S ribosomal RNA". It matches the Rfam family "Bacterial small subunit ribosomal RNA", at positions 523 to 918 of the family's 1533-position model. The record is from RNAcentral.
AUACGGAGGAUGCAAGCGUUAUCCGGAUUUAUUGGGUUUAAAGGGUGCGUAGGCGGUUUGCUAAGCGGGAGGUGAAAUGCCGGCGCUCAACGUCGGAAGUGCCUCCCGAACUGGUGGACUUGAAUGACUCUGCCGUGGGAGGAAUGUGUAGUGUAGCGGUGAAAUGCUUAGAGAUUACACAGAACACCGAUUGCGAAGGCAUCUCACGAAGGGUUGAUUGACGCUGAGGCACGAAAGCGUGGGGAUCAAACAGGAUUAGAUACCCUGGUAGUCCACGCAGUAAACGAUGAUGGCUAACCGCUGGGCUUAUCAGUUCAGUGGCCAAGCGAAAGCGAUAAGCCAUCCACCUGGGGAGUACGACCACAAGGUUGAAACUCAAAGGAAUUGACGGGG